RNAcentral lists this non-coding RNA (50 nucleotides) under Trichobilharzia regenti. Lineage: Eukaryota; Metazoa; Platyhelminthes; Trematoda; Strigeidida; Schistosomatidae. The record is from RNAcentral.
GUACUGCUGAAGAGUCCAAAAAAAAAAAAAAGGAAACAGCUGUCCAGUAC